AUCAGGAAAUCUGUUCAAAACCCUGAGCGGCCCGUUUAUUGAAGGAGUACGCACAAACUGCUGGUUCAGCUAUCAGGCAACGGUUAUUGCCUAAUCGCGAGUUAUUUUUAAAUCAAAAUAGAGGAUCAUUAGAGUAUAAUUGCUAUAAGGUCUACCACAAGGAAACACAGGAUUUAAUUAAAACAUUUUGACAAUUGAUCAACAAGUGAUAGUGUACAACUCAUCUAGAGGGUGAUAAAUAAUUUAUUAUGUUUCAGGCUGAAUUUGUAUGCGCCAACAAACCGCCUUAGAGAGAACAUAAGCUGUCCAGGCCAUUAUUAUCACAGCUCCCAAAUCUUGAAUAUGAUACAAAUAUUAAGCGACAUUUUCGCUCUUGAGUAUAAAGACAAAUUAACUUGUAAGGAAAUAUGGUAAAUAUUGCCUGCCGUAAUCUAAAAUGCAUAUUAUUUGUAUUAUAUCCUAUUGCAUAAAUAUUUAUUGAACAUCAUUAUAAUGUCUUCGAAUAAUUUCAUUAUGAUUUUUUUGUUAAUAAUAUUCCUAAAAUAAAAACAUGUCUAGUACCCAGAUUUUCGGCCUGUAAAAGAUCCAUUUGACAGUGGAACGAAACGUAGCAGUACAAUAUACUUGCUUGGUUUUAUUCUAGGAAUAUUACUAUUAAUGGUACCAAUCAUAAUAAGGGUACUUUGAAGAAAAUGUAAAAAAAAAAGGUUUGUUUGUAAUAAUUUUUUCCGUAUGUUUCUUAAAUUGCCACUGCAAAACAUCAGGCUUAAUUUAUUAAUGUUUGCCUGUAGUGGAUUAUUAUUUCUCUCUUUUGGAUUAUCCGUAUAUACCAUACUGUGUUAUAAAUCUCUAUGAAUCGACGUCACACCUCAUAGUUCGAUUAUUGUUUUGUGUUAAGAAUUAUAUAUAAACUUAGCAACAGCAAAGAUAUUCUCAAGAAUGUGUUAUUAUUUUUAAGUUAGCUAUCCGUGCUUCUUCUCUUUUUAUAUCUAAA
Molecule: long non-coding RNA, 994 nt
Organism: Anneissia japonica
Lineage: Eukaryota; Metazoa; Echinodermata; Crinoidea; Comatulida; Comatulidae
Exons: 3
Source: RefSeq, a predicted model, not a curated record